Molecule: ribosomal RNA, 225 nt
Filed under: uncultured bacterium
Lineage: Bacteria
Description: partial 16S ribosomal RNA
Rfam family: Bacterial small subunit ribosomal RNA
Source: RNAcentral
GAUCAUGGCUCAGGAUGAACGCUAGCGACAGGCUUAACACAUGCAAGUCGAGGGGCAGCAUGAGGUAGCAAUACCUUGAUGGCGACCGGCGCACGGGUGAGUAACGCGUAUGCAACCUGCCCUAUACAGGGGGAUAGCCCAUGGAAACGUGGAUUAAUAUCCCAUAGUAAUCAUGAUAGGCAUCUAUUUUGAUUUAAAUCUUCGGAGGUACAGGAUGGGCAUGCG